Molecule: long non-coding RNA, 253 nt
Filed under: Coffea arabica (coffee)
Lineage: Eukaryota; Viridiplantae; Streptophyta; Magnoliopsida; Gentianales; Rubiaceae
Description: long non-coding RNA (CARA_LNC003587)
Source: RNAcentral
AGGCAUAACAGUACCACAACUUAUACAGUCUCUGCUGGCUCUGGAAAGAAGGGAAAUUCAUCAUCUUCUGAGAACACAACCAUGACAUAUCCCUCCAUGAGUUUCUCUUCAAUAUAUGACCGGGACACUUCAAUAGAUGACCGGGACAGUUAGCUGCUAGAAGACUCAAACAGCAGCUUUGUUUAUCCUUCUAGGUUGCAGUUUUGAGCACUGAAUCUCUGUACAUUAUUUAAGGCUUCUUUUUCUUCCCUUA